GAGGUCUUAGCUUAAAAUUAAAGUGUCUGAGUUGCAAUCAGAAGAUGUGGUGCUCACAGGUCUUCAGAA
RNAcentral lists this transfer RNA (69 nucleotides) under Cyrtodactylus trilatofasciatus. RNAcentral describes it as "tRNA-Ala". It matches the Rfam family "tRNA". From Rfam's summary of the family: Transfer RNA (tRNA) molecules are approximately 80 nucleotides in length. Their secondary structure includes four short double-helical elements and three loops (D, anti-codon, and T loops). Further hydrogen bonds mediate the characteristic L-shaped molecular structure. tRNAs have two regions of fundamental functional importance: the anti-codon, which is responsible for specific mRNA codon recognition, and the 3' end, to which the tRNAs corresponding amino acid is attached (by aminoacyl-tRNA synthetases). tRNAs cope with the degeneracy of the genetic code in two manners: having more than one tRNA (with a specific anti-codon) for a particular amino acid; and 'wobble' base-pairing, i.e. permitting non-standard base-pairing at the 3rd anti-codon position. RNAcentral also lists the same sequence under 1 other name. Lineage: Eukaryota; Metazoa; Chordata; Lepidosauria; Squamata; Gekkonidae. The record is from RNAcentral.